RNAcentral lists this ribosomal RNA (265 nucleotides) under uncultured archaeon. RNAcentral's name for it is "partial 16S ribosomal RNA". It matches the Rfam family "Archaeal small subunit ribosomal RNA", at positions 717 to 982 of the family's 1478-position model. The record is from RNAcentral.
ACACGACUACAUUAGAUACCCGGGUAGUCCCAGCCCUAAACGAUGCGCGUUAGGUGUAUCGGUGACCACGAGUCACCGAGGUGCCGAAGGGAAACCGUGAAACGAGCCACCUGGGAAGUACGGCCGCAAGGCUGAAACUUAAAGGAAUUGGCGGGGGAGCACCACAACGGGUGGAGCUUGCGGUUUAAUUGGAUUCAACGCCGGAAAUCUUACCGGGACCGACAGCAACAUGAAGGCCAGGCUGAAGACUUUGCCGGAUUAGCUG